AGGUUGAAGGUGCGGUAACAGGCACUGGAGGACCGAACCCACUGUCUUUGAAAACCCAGGGGAUGACUUGUUGAUCGGAGUGAAAGGCUAAUCAAGUCCGGAGAUAGCUGGUUCUCCUCGAAAACUAUUUAGGUAGUGCCUCGUGUUUGACUACUGGGGGUAAAGCACUGUGUCGGCUAGGGGGUCAUCCCGACUUACCAAACCGAUGCAAACUCUGAAUACCAGUAAGUUUUAUCACGGGAGACAGACGGCGGGUGCUAACGUCCGUCGUCGAGAGGGCAACAACCCAGACCACCAGCUAAGGUCCCUAAUAUCAGUUAAGUGGGAAACGAUGUGGGAAGGCUUAGACAGCUAGGAGGUUGGCUUAGAAGCAGCCACCCUUUAAAGAAAGCGUAAUAGCUCACU
RNAcentral lists this ribosomal RNA (405 nucleotides) under Alexandrium margalefii. RNAcentral's name for it is "partial Bacterial large subunit ribosomal RNA". It matches the Rfam family "Bacterial large subunit ribosomal RNA", at positions 742 to 1146 of the family's 2925-position model. Lineage: Eukaryota; Dinophyceae; Gonyaulacales; Pyrocystaceae. The record is from RNAcentral.